Molecule: ribosomal RNA, 897 nt
Filed under: uncultured bacterium
Lineage: Bacteria
Description: bacterial SSU rRNA
Rfam family: Bacterial small subunit ribosomal RNA
Source: RNAcentral
AGAACGAACGUUGGCGGCGUGGAUUAGGCAUGCAAGUCGAGCGGGAUUCUCAAUUCUUCGGAAGAGAAGGAUGAGAGCGGCGAACGGGUGAGUAAUAUAUGGGUAAUUUGCCUCUUUGUUCGGGAUAGCCAUCGGAAACGAUGAUUAAUACCGAAUGUGUUCGGGAACUGCAUAGUUCCUUAUAUAAAGGCGGGGAUCUUCGGACCCGUCGCAAAGAGAUAAGCCCAUAUCCUAUCAGCUAGUUGGUGAGGUAACGGCUCACCAAGGCUUACGGGUAGCUGGUCUGAGAGGAUGAUCAGCCACACUGGAACUGAGACACGGUCCAGACUCCUACGGGAGGCUGCAGUCGAGAAUCAUUGUCAAUGCACGAAAGUGUGAACAUGCGACGCCGCGUGGAGGAAGACGGCCUUUGGGUUGUAAACUCCUGUCAGCAGGGAUGAAUGGCAGUAUUACUAAUAGUGAUGCUGUUUGACAGUACCUGCAGAGGAAGUCACGGCUAACUCUGUGCCAGCAGCCGCGGUAAUACAGAGGUGGCGAACGUUGUUCGGAUUUACUGGGCGUAAAGGGUCCGCAGGCGGAUCGGUAUGUCAGAUGUGAAAGCCCACGGCUUAACCGUGGAAUUGCAUUUGAAACUGCCGGUCUAGAGUACUGGAGGGGAGAAGGGAACACUUGGUGUAGCGGUGAAAUGCGUAGAUAUCAAGUGGAACACCGGAGGCGAAGGCGCUUCUCUGGACAGAUACUGACGCUCAUGGACGAAAGCUAGGGUAGCGAAAGGGAUUAGAUACCCCUGUAGUCCUAGCCGUAAACGGUGUGCACUAGACGUGGGUGGAUUUACCCCCAUCCGUGUCUGAGCUAACGCAUUAAGUGCACCGCCUGGGGAGUACGGUCGCAAGAUUA